UACUCGAGUGGCGAACGGGUGAGUAACACGUAGGUGAUCUGCCCUGCACUUCGGGAUAAGCCUGGGAAACUGGGUCUAAUACCGGAUAGGAGCCAUUUUUAGUGUAAUGGUUGGAAAGUUUUUUCGGUGUAGGAUGAGCUCGCGGCCUAUCAGCUUGUUGGUGGGGUAAUGGCCUACCAAGGCGGCGACGGGUAGCCGGCCUGAGAGGGUGGACGGCCACAUUGGGACUGAGAUACGGCCCAG
This 243-nucleotide ribosomal RNA is filed under the name uncultured Actinomycetales bacterium. RNAcentral describes it as "partial 16S ribosomal RNA". It matches the Rfam family "Bacterial small subunit ribosomal RNA", at positions 88 to 334 of the family's 1533-position model. The record is from RNAcentral. Lineage: Bacteria; Bacillati; Actinomycetota; Actinomycetes; Actinomycetales.